RNAcentral lists this long non-coding RNA (1491 nucleotides) under Homo sapiens (human). RNAcentral describes it as "non-protein coding lnc-RBMY1F-5:1". The record is from RNAcentral. Lineage: Eukaryota; Metazoa; Chordata; Mammalia; Primates; Hominidae.
AUUGACAUAAAAGAAAUUUAUGGCCAAAGGCAACUUUAAGUAAAAGCCAUGGAUUUGCUAAGAGGAAGAGAAGUAGUGCUGAAGCACUGGGUUGAAGCUUUUGAAUUAUCUGGCUCCACUGGCUCAUGAAAUUGUGGUAUUUCAGAAAGAACUGCAGAAAGCAGGAAAUGCUAUCAUAGCUGAGCAUGAGGAGUUCAAAAAUCACAGGCCAGCUCUGCAGUACAACUGCAAGAUGCAAAUGAGCAUUCUGGGUGGCUGAAGGCCCAGAUACUAGAUUACAAACUUCCGUAAAAAGUUAAGUAUUCAGGUGACCGAUUUUGUAUUGCAACUGAAGCAAACUCAGACAGCCCUAGAGAAUAAAGUGUACUGUAAUCCAAAGCAGCAUCUGAUCCAUCAUUCUGUCAGUGGAUUAAUAAGUGGCAAUAUGGUGCCUUGCAAUGGUGCUAUACAUCAGGAUUUCUUGAACGAUUCUCUUAAACAGAAAAGAGGUAUGGUAACAUCAAGGAUCCCAAAUUUUCCAAAUGGAGCUGUGGAGGGUAGUCCUUCCAAUUCUGACCUUGAGUUUGUAGUUAAUACUAAGCAAGGGUCAAAGAGCUUAAGCAAGAGGCAAAGAGCUUAAGUAAGAGGACAGACCCUUGGAAAAGGCUUUCAGAAGUUGCUAUCUGAGAGUCGUUAACAUCAUACCAAAAGCCCACUACCAGCAAAGAGCUCACCAUCUCUGCACUUGCUGAAAGCUUUCAAAAACAUUACUUCCAGUUCUCUAGAAAGCCAUAUAUUUGCAGAGGACAGAGUUGUCUCUGAGCAGCCUCAAGUGAAAAAACUUAAAGAUUAAAGGAAUGGCACCUGGAAGCACUCAUGGGCAGUGCAGUGUUGAGGCUACACAGUGGCAUUUCCUCCAGACAAGUCUUCUCUACCCCUUUUCCGAAAGCAAAAAGGAACCUUAAAGUGAAAUGUAUCUGGAAGGUCUGGACAGAUUACAUGUGGGUUCCCCAGUCCUUGUUCUGACAGAAUGCCCCAGCAGUCACCCACUGAGUCAAGGCACAGCCUCUCCAACCCUCCAGACCAAAAGUUUCGCCUUUACCACAGACAGAGGGAACUUCAAGACAAAAGUGAAUUUUCAGUUGUCAACAAGCUAAAUUUUAAGGACAAUGACUAAUUUGACUCACCUUUUAAAGAUCUAGAUCAGAAAGAAAUUGAAGAACAAAAGGAAGAAGAAAAAAAUGUGGAAACAGCAAGUGAAAGAAUGAAGGCAGAGAGAAGAAAAAAAGGCAGAGUAACCUACAUUUUAGAAAGGGAACAGAGGGAACUAGAAAAACUGGAUCAAGAAAGGAGCUCAAGAAAGGUGAUUCAGGAAGGCUCCCUAUAGACAUGCUUCAAUCUAGUGACAAAGUUGAAAUUUGAACAGGAUUUUCUCAUGAAGGACCAGAUCACUCUUGAAAACCAGGUUUGCUCUCCAGCUUCUAUUGCAAAUAUAAUGAGAAGAUACAUAAC